This 2900-nucleotide ribosomal RNA is filed under the name Klebsiella pneumoniae. RNAcentral describes it as "23S ribosomal RNA". It matches the Rfam family "Bacterial large subunit ribosomal RNA". Lineage: Bacteria; Pseudomonadati; Pseudomonadota; Gammaproteobacteria; Enterobacterales; Enterobacteriaceae. The record is from RNAcentral.
UUAAGCGACUAAGCGUACACGGUGGAUGCCCUGGCAGUCAGAGGCGAUGAAGGACGUGCUAAUCUGCGAAAAGCGUCGGUAAGGUGAUAUGAACCGUUAUAACCGGCGAUGUCCGAAUGGGGAAACCCAGUGCAAUUCGUUGCACUAUCGUUAACUGAAUACAUAGGUUAACGAGGCGAACCGGGGGAACUGAAACAUCUAAGUACCCCGAGGAAAAGAAAUCAACCGAGAUUCCCCCAGUAGCGGCGAGCGAACGGGGAGCAGCCCAGAGUCUGAAUCAGCUUGUGUGUUAGUGGAACGGUCUGGAAAGUCCGACGGUACAGGGUGAUAGUCCCGUACACCAAAAUGCACAGGCUGUGAACUCGAAGAGUAGGGCGGGACACGUGGUAUCCUGUCUGAAUAUGGGGGGACCAUCCUCCAAGGCUAAAUACUCCUGACUGACCGAUAGUGAACCAGUACCGUGAGGGAAAGGCGAAAAGAACCCCGGCGAGGGGAGUGAAAAAGAACCUGAAACCGUGUACGUACAAGCAGUGGGAGCACCUUCGGGUGUGACUGCGUACCUUUUGUAUAAUGGGUCAGCGACUUAUAUUCUGUAGCAAGGUUAACCGUAUAGGGGAGCCGCAGGGAAACCGAGUCUUAACUGGGCGUUAAGUUGCAGGGUAUAGACCCGAAACCCGGUGAUCUAGCCAUGGGCAGGUUGAAGGUUGGGUAACACUAACUGGAGGACCGAACCGACUAAUGUUGAAAAAUUAGCGGAUGACUUGUGGCUGGGGGUGAAAGGCCAAUCAAACCGGGAGAUAGCUGGUUCUCCCCGAAAGCUAUUUAGGUAGCGCCUCGUGAACUCAUCUUCGGGGGUAGAGCACUGUUUCGGCUAGGGGGUCAUCCCGACUUACCAACCCGAUGCAAACUACGAAUACCGAAGAAUGUUAUCACGGGAGACACACGGCGGGUGCUAACGUCCGUCGUGAAGAGGGAAACAACCCAGACCGCCAGCUAAGGUCCCAAAGUCAUGGUUAAGUGGGAAACGAUGUGGGAAGGCACAGACAGCCAGGAUGUUGGCUUAGAAGCAGCCAUCAUUUAAAGAAAGCGUAAUAGCUCACUGGUCGAGUCGGCCUGCGCGGAAGAUGUAACGGGGCUAAACCAUGCACCGAAGCUGCGGCAGCGACACUAUGUGUUGUUGGGUAGGGGAGCGUUCUGUAAGCCUGCGAAGGUGACCUGUGAGGGUUGCUGGAGGUAUCAGAAGUGCGAAUGCUGACAUAAGUAACGAUAAAGCGGGUGAAAAGCCCGCUCGCCGGAAGACCAAGGGUUCCUGUCCAACGUUAAUCGGGGCAGGGUGAGUCGACCCCUAAGGCGAGGCCGAAAGGCGUAGUCGAUGGGAAACAGGUUAAUAUUCCUGUACUUGGUGUUACUGCGAAGGGGGGACGGAGAAGGCUAUGUUAGCCGGGCGACGGUUGUCCCGGUUUAAGCAUGUAGGCUGAUUAUCCAGGCAAAUCCGGAUAAUCAAGGCUGAGGUGUGAUGACGAGGCACUACGGUGCUGAAGUAACAAAUGCCCUGCUUCCAGGAAAAGCCUCUAAGCAUCAGGUAACAUCAAAUCGUACCCCAAACCGACACAGGUGGUCAGGUAGAGAAUACCAAGGCGCUUGAGAGAACUCGGGUGAAGGAACUAGGCAAAAUGGUGCCGUAACUUCGGGAGAAGGCACGCUGGUGUGUAGGUGAAGUCCCUGCGGAUGGAGCUGAGACCAGUCGAAGAUACCAGCUGGCUGCAACUGUUUAUUAAAAACACAGCACUGUGCAAACACGAAAGUGGACGUAUACGGUGUGACGCCUGCCCGGUGCCGGAAGGUUAAUUGAUGGGGUUAUCCGUAAGGAGAAGCUCUUGAUCGAAGCCCCGGUAAACGGCGGCCGUAACUAUAACGGUCCUAAGGUAGCGAAAUUCCUUGUCGGGUAAGUUCCGACCUGCACGAAUGGCGUAAUGAUGGCCAGGCUGUCUCCACCCGAGACUCAGUGAAAUUGAACUCGCUGUGAAGAUGCAGUGUACCCGCGGCAAGACGGAAAGACCCCGUGAACCUUUACUAUAGCUUGACACUGAACAUUGAGCCUUGAUGUGUAGGAUAGGUGGGAGGCUUUGAAGCGUGGACGCCAGUCUGCGUGGAGCCAACCUUGAAAUACCACCCUUUAAUGUUUGAUGUUCUAACGUUGGCCCCUGACCGGGGUUGCGGACAGUGUCUGGUGGGUAGUUUGACUGGGGCGGUCUCCUCCCAAAGCGUAACGGAGGAGCACGAAGGUUAGCUAAUCCUGGUCGGACAUCAGGAGGUUAGUGCAAUGGCAUAAGCUAGCUUGACUGCGAGCGUGACGGCGCGAGCAGGUGCGAAAGCAGGUCAUAGUGAUCCGGUGGUUCUGAAUGGAAGGGCCAUCGCUCAACGGAUAAAAGGUACUCCGGGGAUAACAGGCUGAUACCGCCCAAGAGUUCAUAUCGACGGCGGUGUUUGGCACCUCGAUGUCGGCUCAUCACAUCCUGGGGCUGAAGUAGGUCCCAAGGGUAUGGCUGUUCGCCAUUUAAAGUGGUACGCGAGCUGGGUUUAGAACGUCGUGAGACAGUUCGGUCCCUAUCUGCCGUGGGCGCUGGAGAAUUGAGGGGGGCUGCUCCUAGUACGAGAGGACCGGAGUGGACGCAUCACUGGUGUUCGGGUUGUCAUGCCAAUGGCACUGCCCGGUAGCUAAAUGCGGAAGAGAUAAGUGCUGAAAGCAUCUAAGCACGAAACUUGCCCCGAGAUGAGUUCUCCCUGAGACUUUAAGUCUCCUGAAGGAACGUUGAAGACGACGACGUUGAUAGGCCGGGUGUGUAAGCGCAGCGAUGCGUUGAGCUAACCGGUACUAAUGAACCGUGAGGCUUAACCUU